This 409-nucleotide ribosomal RNA is filed under the name Pseudomonas juntendi. RNAcentral describes it as "bacterial SSU rRNA". It matches the Rfam family "Bacterial small subunit ribosomal RNA", at positions 1126 to 1533 of the family's 1533-position model. The record is from RNAcentral. Lineage: Bacteria; Pseudomonadati; Pseudomonadota; Gammaproteobacteria; Pseudomonadales; Pseudomonadaceae.
UUAUGGUGGGCACUCUAAGGAGACUGCCGGUGACAAACCGGAGGAAGGUGGGGAUGACGUCAAGUCAUCAUGGCCCUUACGGCCUGGGCUACACACGUGCUACAAUGGUCGGUACAGAGGGUUGCCAAGCCGCGAGGUGGAGCUAAUCUCACAAAACCGAUCGUAGUCCGGAUCGCAGUCUGCAACUCGACUGCGUGAAGUCGGAAUCGCUAGUAAUCGCGAAUCAGAAUGUCGCGGUGAAUACGUUCCCGGGCCUUGUACACACCGCCCGUCACACCAUGGGAGUGGGUUGCACCAGAAGUAGCUAGUCUAACCUUCGGGAGGACGGUUACCACGGUGUGAUUCAUGACUGGGGUGAAGUCGUAACAAGGUAGCCGUAGGGGAACCUGCGGCUGGAUCACCUCCUUAA